RNAcentral lists this ribosomal RNA (284 nucleotides) under Ixodes ricinus (castor bean tick). Its description in RNAcentral is "partial small subunit ribosomal RNA". Lineage: Eukaryota; Metazoa; Arthropoda; Arachnida; Ixodida; Ixodidae. The record is from RNAcentral.
AAAAUAAAAUUUGAUUUUAAAAAAAUUUAUUUUUUAAACUAGGAUUAGAUACCCUAUUAUUUUAAGCUUAAUGUUGGUAGUAAGUAAAAAUUAUGAAAUCAUAAAAUUUUGGCGGUAUUUUAAGCUUGUUAGAGGAAUUUGCUCUAUAAUGGAUACAACGCCUAUAUCUUACUUAAUUUUGUAAUUAAAGUCAGUUUGUAUACCACUAUAUUUAAUUAUAUUGAAUAAUUAUAUUUAAGAUUUUUAUACAAAUAUAUAUUAAGUCAAGGUGCAACAAAUAAUUA